GAUGAACGCUGGCGGCGUGCCUAAUACAUGCAAGUCGAGCGAACAGAUGAGGAGCUUGCGCCUCUGACGUUAGCGGCGGACGGGUGAGUAACACGUGGAUAACCUACCUGUAAGACUGGGAUCACUUCGGGAAACCGGAGCUAAUACCGUAUGAUCUAUUGAACCGCAUGGGUCAAUAGUGAAAGACGGUGUUGCUGUAACGUAUAGAUGGAUCCGCGCCGGAUUAGCGAGUUGGUAAGGUCACGGGUUACCACGGCGAGGAUGCGUUGCCGACCUGAGUGGCGGAUCGGCCGCACGUGAGCGGGGCCACGGUCCAGACUCCUACGGGAGGCAGCAGUAGGGUACCUGCGGCAAUGGGGGAAAACCUGGCGCAGCGGCCCCGCGUCAGUGACGACGGUGUUCCGAUCGUGAAACUCUGUUUUUAGGGAAGAACAAAUGUGUAAUUAACUAUGCACGUCUUGACGGUACCUAAUCAGAAAGCCACGGCUAACUACGUG
Molecule: ribosomal RNA, 497 nt
Filed under: uncultured bacterium
Lineage: Bacteria
Description: partial 16S ribosomal RNA
Rfam family: Bacterial small subunit ribosomal RNA
Source: RNAcentral